Molecule: long non-coding RNA, 1110 nt
Organism: Hemibagrus wyckioides
Lineage: Eukaryota; Metazoa; Chordata; Actinopteri; Siluriformes; Bagridae
Exons: 3
Source: RefSeq, a predicted model, not a curated record
UCUGUGAUGGAAAUGGUGAGUGUUUUUCUUCAACAGUUCCCAGCUGUAGUGAAUCACACUCGCAGUGGGUCACGGAAAAAUGACAGCAGGCUCCGUUUAACAUGAGCUGCUUUGUGUCGGCGCUGUGACAGGAGGAAAAUGCUCAGAGGAAGUCCUGCAAGGUCAAGGUCUUCACUGUGAACCACACUGGACCUGGGUCUCUGAUGAACUGGACCUGACAUUUCCAAACAACACAGCGUGACUGCUCUCCAGGCCUCCAACCCAUUGAACACACUCUUCACAACCAGUGCAAAGGUCAGAGUGGGAUCAAGGCCUCAAGCCAGAUUCAUCCUGAACACAUCCAUCAGCCUUAUGACAUCACGGGGUCAACAGCUUUACUUCGCCCCUCAACCAUCGGGGACGAUUGUACAGCUGAGGGCUGCGUUUUUCAUCAUAUGAGAGCUUAAAACAUCAUAUAACCCGACACUGAGACCUGGAAGGAAAUAAGAUGACACCCCUACCCCCCCCCACACACAGACAGAUGUCCAUUCAGCUCGCUUUCAAAGGCUACCAUCUUCCCUCCAUGCAAAAACAAGGCCACUUCCUGUCCAUCCGAUCUCAGCGGAAGAGGAAAUGGAACCUGUUUCCCAUUCCUACAGCAGAAGACAACCGGUAUCUAUCGGUCAGCUCUCGGAUACACACUCGCACAGGCGUUAUCGUUUCCCUCGGCAACACAUCCUCGGCGCAAGCGCCGAUACGCUCGAGAGUGUGUCAAGAUAACGAUUCGGUGUCAGAACUAAUCUGAUGGGAUUCGUUAGGCGUCUCAAAGGAAGGCGUGGAUAACUGUAUCAGUGAAGAUAAACAGGACAGAUUCAGAUUUUUUGACACACUGCUAAAUUACACAAUCUUUCCUUCACACUGUAGUGCUAAUUCCACCACAGAUUCAGUAACCAACUAGUCCUUACCUAGUUACUGCACUGCAAACUGGUGACCUCAACCCUCAACAUGUGGCAUCUGGAAAUAUGUGUCUGUGUCUAAUCUGGUCCAGUAAGCUCGAAUAUCUCUCCCCACUCCUAAAACACUGAUACACAUGAGUGUCUCGUGAUAUGAUGCAACAGCCACUGUAAAGCU